GUUUUCACUCCACCCCACCCACCCCCUUUUUUCUUCCCUUUUAGAAAAUGUGAUACCUGAUCUCUGGGUCUAGCAGGGCUGAGGAUUUUUUUUUUGUAUUUGUAUAACACAGUGUCUGGCCUUCCCCCUGACCUGCUGGUGUAUUUUUGGUCUCAUUAGUAGUCAGGCAGAAGCCUUAGUGCAUCCGGUGCUGGGAGUCAGGGAUGAGACACACGACAGCAGAGAGAAGGAGCGGGCGAGAGGAUAUUAGAAGAGAGGCUUGCCUCCAAGAUAUGGAAGGAAGUGAGAAAUGACAGGACGACGGCAAGCUUUGUAUGGAGGAGCCUGGCAGGGCGGGGGAGCCGUGAGGAGCGCGAAGUGGGUUCUCAGAAGCCCUAGAAGAGCUAAAGGUGAUUAGAGGGGGAUAUUGAUUCCUUACUCUGCCAGAGAUUUAAGCAGGCAUGCGAGGAAUCUGCACCAUGGUUGGCAAAAGGAGACCCAUCGCCUCCUGUAACCAGACACUCGGGCUUUCCAGGAGCCCAGGGAGAGAACCGAGAAGAAAGGGGGCAGUGUGGUCUAGGAAAAUUCAACUUGUCGCUGAUUUGUGCCUGACGCUUGCUGUCCGUCAGCAGCCUCCCUUACAAUCUUUUUUUCCUCUCUCUCCCUUUUUUUCUUGCCUUCUCCUUCUUCACUGAAGCCUAGGGGAGCCAGUAAAGAUUAAAUGUGCUUUCUCAAAGGCAGCCACUUCAUGCUGCUAUGUCGAAAGGGCCAUUAUUAUUAUGUUUUUAACAGUAAAAGAAAAAGGGAGAGAGGUUGAGAGAGAGAGAGAGAGAGAGAGAGAGAAGCUAGGUAGGAUGAUGACGGACUAGCUUUUCUGAGAGGAAAAGGAAAAGGGAAGGGAGAGAAAAAGGAGAGACCCUGAACUGAACAGAGGAUUGUGCCUGCGAAGAACCUACAGAGUGCCUUCCUUUGCAGGGGCUGCUUUGUCAUUCUCUUUGACUAGCCAUCCAUCCACCUUGCUCACGCUGGAAUAAAAGAAGAAAAAGAAGGAGGAAAGGAAAGGAAACAGAAGGAAAGAAAAAAAGGGGAAGAAAAAAUUUUUAAAGAGUCAUCUUCCCACCCACUUCCCCUCCCUUUCGUUUCAUUUUUGGAGGCGGCACUAGGAGCCAUCUCCGCAGAGGAAAGCCCAGCUUCCAGGCAGACGCGGGGAAGCGACGAUCUAUCAGGUACAGAGCCCGUAGCUGUCUGCGAAGAUGGAGGGGAAUUGUGCUUCGGAUUCCUCCGAAAUAUUGGCAAACGGCUUCAAAGGAUCCGCGGCGGGAGUGGGGCGGGGGAGAUGCGCCUCCCCGGCUCGCGCCCACCCCUUCCCACUCGCCUCGACCAAGUGACAGCCUGGUGCUGGCUCGGGGUGAUUUGGCCUUGGCUCCAGCCAAGCAGCUGAUGUACAGGAGGCCCUUCGCAGGACUGGCAAAGUGCACGCUAAAGAAAGAAGGAGGAAAUUUUGAAAAGCAGCCCUGGGGAGGGUUCUCAUUCUUCGAAAAACAUUUUUUUUUGAAUUUUUAACCUAAUAUUCUCAAAAUUUGAUCAGCCCCGUUCCCUCCCUCCACUCCCACCGAAUCGCCCUUUUUAACCCCCUCUCUCGUCAAAGCAUAAACUACAGAGUUACAGUCUCUAGAUUUGGUGUAUCGCUUCCUGCCCCCGCCUCCCCCUCCCUGCCCAGCUCUCAGUCCUCUAUUGAAACACCUCGCCCAGGCAAGCGCCCUGCAGCUCACGUUUCCCCCCCUGGCCCGGACGGUGCUACUGGAGGCUGCAGCCCGACUCCACUUCCAAUGGUAAGUUGCCUGUUGGAUAAACCUGAAGUUAUUCUUACGGAGCGCACUCUCCCAGAGCGAGGAUCGUGGUGCUCUCACACACUCUCAAGCAAUCCUGUUGCUUGACUGAUUCCUGAACAAGAUGAACAAUGAGCAAGCUCCGUUUUUCUGUCGUGUUGAUGUCCUUUCAGCUGGUCCUAUAGUCCCCCCUCCUCAGGAAUGUCUCCCCAGUGAAAGGACACAGACCACAGAGACUGCUGUCCUGAUGGACGCUCAAGCCGACUGUGAAGUUGAAACAAAGAAAGCGAUCACCUGAAGACACCUCUCCUGCCAAGUGACACACCCACAUGCUGCACCUUCAGCCAAUAGAAUCUCAGAACAAGAACAAGGCAAGCUUUUCAAGAAACAGAAACACUUAAGAAUGACGUCUAGAUUUCGAAGGAGCCAAGGACUUUUCCCUUCGUCAUGUGUAUUCCUGUUUGUAUUUAAAUUCUGUGUGACAUUCAUUUUUAAAAAACUUUUUUUCUAGUAUGAAUGAAUAUGCUUAUUAAUGCACCGAUUUUUAAAAUAGAAAGUUGUUCAUGCCGGAAGUAAAUUGAAUGUUAGCCACACACCGAGUUUGACCUUCAGAGUGACUUAAAGAAUAUAAAGUUCUUUUGAAAUAAUGAAAUAGUGGGAGGCGAUCCAAAGGAUAAAAUAAUGGUGAGAACUCAGACUGUGGCAUAGAAAUACAAGAUCCCACUGACGCCAGCCAACCAACCAACCAUUCUUUUUAUCGGGCAAGCUAGGUUCUGUGAGAUGUGGUCAGUGCCUCUGAAGAGUUUAAAUCUAGUGAGGCAGAGGCACAUAAACUUUUGAAAAGAUAAGUAACAAAUCAGGUCAACUGAUAAGAGCAAAACCAAAACAAAGCCAAAGAUAUAAACAAGGAGCUCAGGGGUCACCUUAAGCUGGGCAAACUGGUCUGUUUAGGGAAGAAAGUUCCCAAAGGAGGAAAAUACAAGAUGAAUCUUAAAGGCUGUUAAAGAUUUAGAUAAGUGGAAAGGAAGGAGAAAAUAGAGGCCUUUAGGUGGAUGCAAUAUUGUGAGAAAAGUCAGAGAGGAAAGCAUCUACGUGGUGGUUUUAGGGAAUUAUGAAUAUACAUGUCUUCUGCACUGCAUCCCAGACUUUCAGUGCCAAUGUAUAGAUAUAUAUACGGUGAAGACUUUGCACACACACACUUCCCCCCUCCCUCCCUAGGGGUAGCCUAGAAUUAUAAUCAUAUUUCUUCCAUUAAAGCAACUGAUAGGAAGAUUUGUGAUUUUUCUGUUAGCCUAGUAACAAUGGAUAUCUACUGAGUUCUCACUACAUGUUAAGCAUUCUCUAUGUUAACUCUCUUAAGCCUCACAACAACCUUGCCACAUAGAUGUUGUUUUUUAUUCCCAUUUUACACAAAGAAAACUGACUUUUAAUGAGGUUAAGUAACUUGCCAAACUGCCACAUACAGAGUUCACAAUCAGAAUUGCGACUGCAGAGCUCAUGAUCUAACGCGCUAAGUCACGAUAUUGCUACCAACGUUGUAAUAUUACCGCUUCUAUAUUCCUCGAUAUUUUUCUGUGGUAAAUAAAUAGCUAUUUCCCUUAAUUAGCUUCUCAAAUUUUUCAGUUUUCUGGUUAAACUCACAUGAUGGAAUGUAUUUUCAUGAAAGAAAUUGAAAAAAAUUGGGCAAUAGAGUCUAUCAGCAUUUUAGACCUUUUUUUGGGAGGGGGCCAGACUCUGAUGAAACUGUUCACUUCGGUCAGCAUGAAAUCUCAACUACUUGAGAAUAAAAAUAGGAGGUGGGCAGAGCUUAAAGGUCCUUUUCUACAGAUGUGAUAAAUCCAUAAAGUUUGAGUGACUUACGGAAGAUCACACGUUGAAGUGUAGCAGAGCUCGGUCCGGAAACCAUGCCGCCCUCAGAGGCUCUUGAACUUCUCCACCCUGUCUAAAUGAAGUGUGAGCUUGAAUUUGAUCAGUGAAAACAUUCUAUCUGGGUGAUCAGGGAGCAUUGUACCUAGUAGAUUGCUUCAAUUUUGCACCUCUUUGGCUUCUCACCUCAAUGUGAAAAUUAGCUAGCUACAAACUGACAUCUUUAGUUCCAGAAAUUGUCAGUGGUCCAUCCACAAAGAACACACAAUGGCCCAAGUUACGUGUGCAACGUCUUCAAUGAUAUUCUUAAGUUAUUUGGCAUUCUUAGUUCACCUAAACAAACCAGAUCUUCUAAUGAGCAUUUUCUUAACCAGUUUUAUGGACAGUAUAUAUUUGUAAGAGCUUCUGCAUGAAUAUUUAAACACCACUGUUUCAAUAGUCCUUAUGUUUUUUGAAAAUAUCAAUGGUUAUUUGCUAUUUUAAUUGUUACUAACUCAAGGAUACUUCAGCCAUAAAAAACUAGAACUGAGGAAACCUCACUCUUCUUUACCAGCCCCUUUGCCUUCAGUUGGCAUUUAGUAAUGGUUAAUAAAGUGGUCAGGGGCUUCCCUGGUGGCGCAGUGGUUGAGAGUCCGCCUGCCGAUGCCGAGGACAUGGAUUCAUGCCCCGGUCCGGGAAGAUCCCACAUGCUGCGGAGCGGCUGGGCCCGUGAGCCAUGGCUGCUGAGCCUGCACGUCCGGAGCCUCUGCUCCGCAACGGGAGCGGCCACAAAAGUGAGAGGCCCGCGUACCGCAAAAAAAAAAGAAAAAGUGAUCAGCUGGAGAACACAGAAGUUCAAAACAUAAUUUUGUCUUGAAGGAGUCAGUUAAUCUGUGUCUACUUAAGGGCGAGCAUCUAGAUGUUUGGAAGGAUCUGAAUAUUUGACUGCUGUAAACUUGCGCUUAGAUAUCUGGCAUUGUCACACUUAGACCUCCUGGUGGCUCAGGUCGUCCUGUUUUCAAAAUGAUGGUCAUUGGCCAUAUCUCACACAGUUCUCAUUAAGUGAACUCAUAAAUAAACAGUUUUUUUUUUUUUUUAAAGCAUAGCCAAGCACAAAAUGUGACUUUGUUGACAUUUUAUGAGACUUUGUCAUAUGUCCCCUGAACCCCCAAUAAAAGCAGUGGUGCAUCA
Globicephala melas (long-finned pilot whale) is the source of this 4844-nucleotide long non-coding RNA. RefSeq lists it as uncharacterized. Lineage: Eukaryota; Metazoa; Chordata; Mammalia; Artiodactyla; Delphinidae. The record is from RefSeq and is a predicted model, not a curated record.